Molecule: ribosomal RNA, 492 nt
Filed under: uncultured bacterium
Lineage: Bacteria
Description: partial 16S ribosomal RNA
Rfam family: Bacterial small subunit ribosomal RNA
Source: RNAcentral
AGUGAACGCUGGCGGUAGGCCUAACACAUGCAAGUCGAACGGCAGCACAGUAAGAGCUUGCUCUUACGGGUGGCGAGUGGCGGACGGGUGAGGAAUACAUCGGAAUCUACUUUUUCGUGGGGGAUAACGUAGGGAAACUUACGCUAAUACCGCAUACGACCUACGGGUGAAAGCAGGGGAUCUUCGGACCUUGCGCGAUUGAAUGGGCCGAUGUCGGAUUAGCUAGUUGGCGGGGUAAAGGCCCACCAAGGCGACGAUCCGUAGCUGGUCUGAGAGGAUGAUCAGCCACACUGGAAUUGAGACACGGUCCAGACUCCUACGGGAGGCAGCAGUGGGGAAUAUUGGACAAUGGGCGCAAGCCUGAUCCAGCCAUACCGCGUGGGUGAAGAAGGCCUUCGGGUUGUAAAGCCCUUUUGUUGGGAAAGAAAAGCAGCAGGUUAAUACCCCGCUGUUCUGACGGUACCCAAAGAAUAAGCACCGGCUAACUUCGUG